AUAUAUAUUCCUGUAUAUAUUUUUUUCCCGACAUUCAUAAUUUACAUUUAAUAUUACUCCCUAAAUUCAUUCAACUAUAAUGAUUAAAAUCAUAUAACAUUCAAAAUAUGUUAUAAAUCAUAAUAACAUCAUUAACAUUCAUUGUAACAUUCAUAAUCUAAAAUAACAUUGGAACUUGACGAGUCGGAGUUGGUGUUGGAGUUGGAACUUAAGGACUUCGUCUAAAUCUUUUCUUAUUAACCAACUUUUUCUUGUAAG
This 258-nucleotide long non-coding RNA is filed under the name Zostera marina. Its description in RNAcentral is "long non-coding RNA (ZMAR_LNC004667)". Lineage: Eukaryota; Viridiplantae; Streptophyta; Magnoliopsida; Alismatales; Zosteraceae. The record is from RNAcentral.